GCAUAUCAAUAAGCGGAGGAAAAGAAACCAACAGGGAUUGCCCUAGUAACGGCGAGUGAAGCGGCAACAGCUCAAAUUUGAAAUCUGGCUCUUUCAGAGUCCGAGUUGUAAUUUGCAGAGGGCGCUUUGGSUUUGGCMSCSGUCCAAGUUCCUUGGAACAGGACGUCACAGAGGGUGAGAAUCCCGUACGUGGUSGCKAGCUMUUGCCGUGUAAAGCCCCUUCGACGARUCGAGUUGUUUGGGAAUGCMGCUCUWAAUGGGAGGUAAAUUUCUUCUAAAGCUAAAUAUUGGCCAGAGACCGAUWGCGCACAAGUAGAGUGAUCGAAAGAUGAAAAGCACUUUGGAAAGARAGUCAAACAGCACGUGAAAUUGUUGAAAGGGAAGCGCUUGCMGCCMGACUUGCUUGCAGUUGCUCAUCCGGSCUUUUGCCCGGUGCACUCUUCUGCAGGCAGGCCAGCAUCAGUUUGGGCGGUGGGAUAAAGGUCUCUGUCAUGUACCUCUCUUCGGGGAGGCCUUAUAGGGGAGGCGACAUACCACCAGCCUAGACYGAGGUCCGCGCAUCKGCUAGGAUGCUGGCGUAAUGGYUGUAAGCGRCCCGUCUUGAAACACGGACCAAGGAGUCUAACAUCUAYGCGAGUGUUUGGGUGUCAAGCCCGAGCGCGYAAUGAAAGUGAACGGAGGUGGGAACCCGCAAGGGUGCACCAUCGACCGAUCCUGAAGUUUWCGGAAGGAUUUGAGUAAGAGCRUGGCUGUUGGGACCCGAAAGAUGGUGAACUAUGCUUGAAUAGGGUGAAGCCAGAGGAAACUCUGGUGGAGGCUCGCAGCGGUUCUGACGUGCAAAUCGAUCGUCAAAUUUGGGCAUAGGGGCGAAAGACUAAUCGAACUAUCUAGUAGCUGGUUCUGCG
Molecule: ribosomal RNA, 905 nt
Filed under: Exserohilum rostratum
Lineage: Eukaryota; Fungi; Ascomycota; Dothideomycetes; Pleosporales; Pleosporaceae
Description: partial large subunit ribosomal RNA
Rfam family: Eukaryotic large subunit ribosomal RNA
Source: RNAcentral